AAAUAAAUAUUUAAGUUUAAGUAUAUGAUUUACAAUGAUAAAAUGUUUUUAACUUUAAUUA
RNAcentral lists this transfer RNA (61 nucleotides) under Hormaphis betulae. RNAcentral describes it as "tRNA-Val". Lineage: Eukaryota; Metazoa; Arthropoda; Insecta; Hemiptera; Hormaphididae. The record is from RNAcentral.